This 1464-nucleotide long non-coding RNA is filed under the name Canis lupus familiaris (dog). RNAcentral describes it as "lncRNA (ENSCAFG00030009133.1)". Lineage: Eukaryota; Metazoa; Chordata; Mammalia; Carnivora; Canidae. The record is from RNAcentral.
AUGCUGUCUGUACAACGUAAUGACCUAUGGCUCCAUUUACAAGGCAUGUUAGACAGAAAGCCGCUUCUGGAGGCUCAAAGGACUCAAUUCCAUUUUUUCUUUUUGGUGCAGAUUGCUUUCUCUCCAGAGAGGCGAGUCUGUGAUUGGGACAUUUGUCAGGUAACACUACCAGGAGACGCAGCUGUGCUUCACUCCAGAACCGCAUCUGCGUGUUCUAUGCUGACCAAGGGGACAGCGGCUGGGGGAUUACGUUGAAGGCAAGAAAGCAUGAAGGACAGAGCUAAAGCCGUUGGGUGAGUGGAGACCUCAUUCCUCCCCCUUCAUCACCGAAGAUCGAGACUCUCUGUUUUAAGGUAACCAAAGUGAAACAUCCCUAGGAAAUCUUCCUAGCACUGAUCUUUUUUUUUUUUUUUCAAAAUAACAUAAGUUCUGGUAAAGAGUCUACUCUUUCCCAGGUAUAGUUGACAGUCGUCUUGACACCUUAAUACACUGCAUUACAAACUCUCCUCUGACCAAAGAACCAUUGCUUCUACUCAUCUGCCAUGAUGUUCAGCAUCUCUACUUUUAGAAAUGUAGGUUUUGUAUUUUCUAAGUAUGAGGCCAUUUAUCUCCUUUAAAAAAAAUAAAAUGAAAAUAUAUUUAUCUUUUAUUUCUCAAAGGAAAAAACUUGACCAGGUCCAAAUUUCUUCCACCUCCCUCUUAUCUCUAUUACACCUGCACCUUUUCUUAGGCCUUUAACUGUACCUUAGUAUUCAAGGUAACCUGUCCACUUGUACUCUUGGGUCUCAUCCAUUUCUGUCUUCACCAAGGACUCAUUACAUCAGUUCUUCUUCUUUUCCCUAUUUUCAACAUCACUUCUUCCUCAGUUUUAUUCUCUGGUCAUAUCUCUUCCAAUCUCUUCUUGUAUAGUCGUGCUUAAAGGUAAAGUUACUACAAUUUCUGCAUCUAUUUCUUCUCCUUCCCCAUAUUUCCCAAAUCACCAAGAACUGGCGUUUUGCUGAGAUAACCAGUGACCCAAAGGUGACCAUACUUUUUACUCUUCUCUUAUUUGAUCUACCACCUCCGGCACUGAUAACUGACAUCAAAUUAAUUUCAUCUUUGCUACUUUACAUGAGUCUCUCUUGGUUCUUGCUUCUACUAUGCCAUUCUUCUUAAAGUCUUUUCCAGCUUCUUAUCUUGUGUAGUUCUUAAAUUAUUACAUACCUCAGGGAAGACUCUCAUUUAUCUGAAGCCAUAUCACUUCGGUUCACAUCCAUGCUCUAUAAUUUGAGAACUGUUUGACUUGAGGAAGGUUAUGUAUCCUUUCUGUGGCCCACCUGUAAAUUGAGGAUAACACCAAUAUCAUGACAUAAUGCAAUGUAAGGAUUCACUGUGACUAUAAUUUUCCAUGGGCAAUUUAUUUUAUGCUUUCAGCUCUACCUGCCAUUUCUACUCUUAAGAUUCCCAAAUAGGCAUCUGUACUAA